Molecule: long non-coding RNA, 1002 nt
Organism: Melanaphis sacchari
Lineage: Eukaryota; Metazoa; Arthropoda; Insecta; Hemiptera; Aphididae
Exons: 4
Source: RefSeq, a predicted model, not a curated record
CGGUCCAGCGCAAUGAGAGCUGCACCAACUAGCAAUCGAGCCCGCCCAUGAUAAUCCUAGCCCGUCCGGCGGGCGCGCGAGAUUAUGGAUGACGGCGCCGUAGCCUUCCGAGUACUAAACCACGGAUUAAACCGAGCGCCGAGGGUUAAGUUUGAUACCGCAAUAACAGGGUACCAUGCAACCACAUUGUUUGACGACACCGCGGCGACGGCCUACGGUAGACCACGCGACACGUCGAGACUAGCGAGUCGCCGCGCAACCACGCUCUCUCGCGUUUCGUGCUCUCGUUAUCAUUUUCCGUUGUCGUCCGUCGCACGUUGCUAAUGUUGCUAUUGUGUGAUUUGUACUAUUUGCAGUUGUUGUAUGGUCGGUGGACGGACGUUUGGAGUUCGGGCCAAAGACGUCGACGGCGAAUUACCGAGUGGUACACUCUUGAACAGUUUUACUAUAAUAUUGUAGCUGGUGACUAUUAUAGUAAAUACUUCUAAGUACGUAAUUUGUACACGCUCGUGUGUUUCGUCGCGAGGGUUUUUAUUUUUUAUUAACCGUUACGAUUGAUAACGACAACAGGUGGUGCGCUCUGUCAGUGGUCUGUCUGGUCUCAUCAAAUUAUGUUUCGAGCACUUUGCCAGUCUGUUUUUUCCCGCUUUACCGGCUACCUGGUUGUACGCGUGCUUGCUACGUUAUCAACUCAUACUAAAUCGCUGUUUAUCAUUCACGUAUAAAUGUUUAAUAAUAAUAAUAAUAUAUAUUUAUACACAGUAGUACUGUACAGAAUUCUCAAUCUACCGUCUACAGCGCUCUAAAUAUUAUUUUGGCACGCGCGACGACCAUGCAGCAGCUACCUACGAAUAUUUUUGCAAAUCCUAUUUCACGGUACAUGUUGAUGAGACUUGUGGCUCCUGCUGACUAGGUUACAGCCAACCGGCGUCGAUUGCUGUUUUAAUUCUUCAAACUGAAUGUGAUUCAGUUAAAAGUUAUAUAAUAUAAUCAAGAUUAAAC